Long non-coding RNA from Salvelinus fontinalis (brook trout), 572 nucleotides. RefSeq lists it as uncharacterized. NCBI's taxonomy places the organism in Eukaryota, Metazoa, Chordata, Actinopteri, Salmoniformes, Salmonidae. The transcript has 3 exons. The record is from RefSeq and is a predicted model, not a curated record.
GCAACAGAUCCUGUAAUCAUUGCUCUGGGAGUGACCUCGGCCGUCUGUCUGAUUGGGAUCAUUAUCCUCAUCUGCACCAGACAUACUAGACCAGUUUGUGAACAUUGUAAAGUGGGUGCUUCUCAGCAUAUCGGACAUGACAACUACACUAGAGAAUCAAGCAGCAAGGAUCAAAAUGCAGAUACUCUGAAUUAUGCUGCAUUGAAUUUCUCUGAGAGGAAAACUAAAAGAGGAAGAAAGAAGAGAGAGACACCACAGGAGAGUGUGUAUUCUGAUGUCAGGUACUCAGACUGGGAGUGAACUACAGUACAGAGGAAUACAUUUUGGUCAAAAAUAGAUUUUUUUAAUUGCUAUUAUAUACUUUAAUUGUCAAGACAAAAAAGCAACACUCUUUUUGUAUCAUAGGGCAUCAGGGUUUUUCUCAUCUCUGCAACCCAGAAGCAAAUCUAAUUUCUAGACUAAUGUGAGUAGCAGAACCAAGAACAAAUCCUCUUUCCUGUAUUUUAUUGUUCAUGUUUUCACAUAAUUCAAGAAUUGAUCCCAAUUGUUGUUGUAAUGUUAAAUGAACCUUG